RNAcentral lists this ribosomal RNA (744 nucleotides) under Vairimorpha ceranae. Its description in RNAcentral is "bacterial SSU rRNA". It matches the Rfam family "Microsporidia small subunit ribosomal RNA", at positions 52 to 840 of the family's 1311-position model. Lineage: Eukaryota; Fungi; Microsporidia; Nosematidae. The record is from RNAcentral.
GCAUGUUUUUGACAUUUGAAAAAUGGACUGCUCAGUAAUACUCACUUUAUUUUAUGUAAAUUUUUAAUUAACUACGUUAAAGUGUAGAUAAGAUGUUUACAGUAAGAGUGAGACCUAUCAGCUAGUUGUUAAGGUAAUGGCUUAACAAGGCUGUGACGGGUAACGGUAUUACUUUGUAAUAUUCCGGAGAAGGAGCCUGAGAGACGGCUACUAAGUCUAAGGAUUGCAGCAGGGGCGAAACUUGACCUAUGGAUUUUAUCUGAGGCAGUUAUGGGAAGUAAUAUUAUAUUGUUUCAUAUUUUAAAAGUAUAUGAGGUGAUUAAUUGGAGGGCAAAUCAAGUGCCAGCAGCCGCGGUAAUACUUGUUCCAAGAGUGUGUAUGAUGAUUGAUGCAGUUAAAAAGUCCGUAGUUUAUUUUUUAAGAAGCAAUAUGAGGUGUACUGUAUAGUUGGGAGAAAGAUGAAAUGUGACGACCCUGACUGGACGAACAGAAGCGAAAGCUGUACACUUGUAUGUAUUUUUUGAACAAGGACGUAAGCUGGAGGAGCGAAGAUGAUUAGAUACCAUUGUAGUUCCAGCAGUAAACUAUGCCGACGAUGUGAUAUGGAAAUAUUAAUUUGUAUUACAUAAUAGAAAUUUGAGUUUUUUGGCUCUGGGGAUAGUAUGAUCGCAAGAUUGAAAAUUAAAGAAAUUGACGGAAGAAUACCACAAGGAGUGGAUUGUGCGGCUUAAUUUGACUCAACGC